GGAGUUGGGAAGGUGUUCUUGGAGUAUGCUGAUGUUGAAGGUGCUACGAAAGCCCGAGCAGGGAUGAAUGGAAGGAAGUUUGGUGGAAAUCAAGUUGUAGCUGUGUUUUUCCUGGAGAACAAGUUUUAUCAGUGUGAAUAUGAUGCCUAAUCAUUGUCUACUUUCUUAUGUUGAUUUGUUAAUGGAGUUUCAUAAGGAUUAGUAUUUAUUCUAGCUAGCAAAACAAAUACAUUACUGAUGUGAAAGAAGUUCAAUUACGAAUGUUUAGAGAAUGAUGGGCUUGAGAUACUGGAGAAAAAUGAAGAAAGAAAGAGAAUGGGCAAUUACCACAAGCCCAAGUACAACAUAACUUCCCAGAAUAACAUGUUCAUUUGUUGUGCUAGCUAGAAUAAAUACUAAUCCUUAUGAAACUCCAUUAACAAAUCAACAUAAGAAAGUAGACAAUGAUUAGGCAUCAUAUUCACACUGAUAAAACUUGUUCUCCAGGAAAAACACAGCUACAACUUGAUUUCCACCAAACUUCCUUCCAUUCAUCCCUGCUCGGGCUUUCGUAGCACCUUCAACAUCAGCAUACUCCAAGAACACCUUCCCAACUCCUGGUGAAGCUUCACCAUCUGGCUUUGGGCGAGGGAUAACAACGUUCACCAAUGUACCAAAUUUCCCGCCUUC
RNAcentral lists this unclassified non-coding RNA (669 nucleotides) under Hevea brasiliensis (rubber tree). The record is from RNAcentral. Lineage: Eukaryota; Viridiplantae; Streptophyta; Magnoliopsida; Malpighiales; Euphorbiaceae.